RNAcentral lists this long non-coding RNA (577 nucleotides) under Mus spicilegus (steppe mouse). RNAcentral describes it as "lncRNA (ENSMSIG00000028663.1)". Lineage: Eukaryota; Metazoa; Chordata; Mammalia; Rodentia; Muridae. The record is from RNAcentral.
CUUUUCUUUUUUUUUUUUCUUUUUCCUCUUUUUUUUUUUUUUUUUUUUGUAAAUCAAGGGGAAAGCAGCCAAACUAAAAAUGAGUUAUUCAUAAACAAAUAGGAGGGUCAGAAGUUCAAGGUCAUCCUCAGCUACACAGCUGGAGGCAGCUGGACGAUGCGAGACAUCGGAAAGGUUUUCCCGCUCACACUGACCCUUCCUAGCUGCUGCUGGUGUUCCGGGGUGGCACCGAGCAGAGGAAAAACAGGAAAGGCUUUGGAGCCGGAGGGCCCUGAGUGCAAGGUGCCUGCCUGCCACAUGACUCUGGGACUAGUCCCUCUCUCAGCCUAGCAAGACAACAUUGCCUCUCAGGUCACCACGAGGAUUCUGGGACAUCUCUGGAAAGACGAUAGCACACAGUGUUUGAGGACUGUUCUCACCUGCUCCAGCCACUCACCCUUGUUCCUUCCUAGUCUUAUGGGAAACCAGAGGAGGGACAUUUGCCCUUCUAAGGACAUUGGUGUGUAGAACUUACUAAAUAUGUAUGAAAUGCACUUGUAAUUUAUUCCUCCACUAUUUCCAUAAAAAUAUAUUAUCU